This 28-nucleotide small RNA is filed under the name Bombyx mori (domestic silkworm). Its description in RNAcentral is "ovarian small RNA-34982". The record is from RNAcentral. Lineage: Eukaryota; Metazoa; Arthropoda; Insecta; Lepidoptera; Bombycidae.
UGGGAAGGUGGGGCCCCAUUGGGUUGUG